GAUGAACGCUGGCGGCGUGCCUAAUACAUGCAAGUCGAGCGAACAGACGAGGAGCUUGCUCCUCUGACGUUAGCGGCGGACGGGUGAGUAACACGUGGAUAACCUACCUAUAAGACUGGGAUAACUUCGGGAAACCGGAGCUAAUACCGGAUAAUAUAUUGAACCGCAUGGUUCAAUAGUGAAAGACGGUUUUGCUGUCACUUAUAGAUGGAUCCGCGCCGCAUUAGCUAGUUGGUAAGGUAACGGCUUACCAAGGCAACGAUGCGUAGCCGACCUGAGAGGUGGAUCGGCCACCAUGGAACUGAGACACGGUCCAGACUCCUACGGGAGGCAGCAGGAGGGAAUCUUCCGCAAUGGGCGAAAGCCUGACGGAGCAACGCCGCGUGAGUGAUGAAGGUCUUCGGAUCGUAAAACUCUGUUAUUAGGGAAGAACAAAUGUGUAAGUAACUAUGCACGUCUGGACGGUACCUAAUCAGAAAGCCACGGCUAACUACGU
Molecule: ribosomal RNA, 496 nt
Filed under: uncultured bacterium
Lineage: Bacteria
Description: partial 16S ribosomal RNA
Rfam family: Bacterial small subunit ribosomal RNA
Source: RNAcentral